This 193-nucleotide ribosomal RNA is filed under the name uncultured bacterium. RNAcentral describes it as "partial 16S ribosomal RNA". The record is from RNAcentral.
GUCCCGUUCGACAGGAGUUUACGACCCGAAGAUCUUCAUCCUCCACGCGGCGUUGCGUCGUCAGGCUUGCGCCCAUUGCGAACAAUUCCCCACUGCUGCCUCCCGUAGGAGUCUGGGCCGUGUCUCAGUCCCAGUGUGUCCGUCCGCCCUCUCAGGCCGGAUACUGAUCGUUGCCUUGGUGAGCCAUUACCUC